This is a long non-coding RNA of Megalopta genalis, 1283 nucleotides long. RefSeq lists it as uncharacterized. The record is from RefSeq and is a predicted model, not a curated record. Lineage: Eukaryota; Metazoa; Arthropoda; Insecta; Hymenoptera; Halictidae.
UCACACAAUCACUCUUAUCUUAUAAGUGAGAGAAAACACGAUUAGGUGUGCAACAAUAACGAUACGCGUACGAGAUGUACGCCGCGUUAACAUAACCGUUUACGCUGUCACUGAUGUCGCGUCGGUGAUACGGCGCCAAAAUUCCGAUUGCCAGGAUACACUCCCGAUACAGCACGGUGAUUGCGCGAACCAACUGACAAAAUAAGGAGAGAUAUGCGGUAAUUAGAACGAUGAUUUUUGAUAGCUGACUGGUCGUGUUACAACAUGUUUCCAUCUGGCGGUCAAAAGAGAAAGCAGAACACAGAACCAAUCUGAUCUCGUAUGUUUACGGAGUUAUCCCUAUGCUUGGACCUCAUAUUAACUAAAAAAUCUCACAUGUUUGAAAAGAGAUUCGAUCGUAUAAUGUUAUUACGCAAAGAAAGAGAUAAGGAUUUGUUAUUACUUUAUACAGUUAAAUAACAUUGUAGAGAGCUCUUAGAAGUCCCAUUAUAAUCAUAAUGUUAAAACUGAACGGUGUUGUUCUAGAGUAUCGUGUACAAUGCUAAUUAAUGAUUUUCUUUAGAAAUUCGGAGGAACAGUUUUUAAAAGAAUUUGCAACAGUAUGCUGUGUAUAACACUUUUGCAUUUGUUACAAUGCUUUUUUGCUCUUCGAAUGUAGUACAUGCUCCUAAUCAAUAUCUCGCAUUUUCUAGUAAACCAAGGUUCUGCUUUGUAAUUUAUGUAGAGACAUAUGAACAUGAACAGGAGAUUGAAUUGGUUGUGUAGGUUGAUGAGUUCUGCUUUAUUAAUAUGAGCUAACAGUUAUUAUUACAAGUGAUAAAUGACGCAGGUUAAAAGAUUGUGAUUUUUAUGAUCUAUUUUAUACUUUUAUCUGAAUAGAUAUUUCUUUUGUAAAAAAUACUUAAAGAAAUCUAUUAUUAUGGAAUAACUGAUUUCCUUAACAUUAAGACAUUUCCCUUUAUUUUACAGCUUAUAAAGUUAAAAUGUUUGGUUUUUGUUUGUAAAAGCUUGAAUUUAUCGUUUAAUUUGAUUAGUUACAUAGUGAUAAAUUGACACUGCGGUAACCGAUUUGUCCAUCAAUGGAAUCCUCUUCUAUUACGAACAGAGUUUCGAAGAUUGCAAAUAAAAAACUUAAAUGUGGUUUUGUAAAUUGACAAUUACUUAAGGAUUUUAAUACCAACUAUGAGUUUUGGAUGCACAUACAUAUGAGAGGAAUGGUGAUCAGAUUUAUGAAUAAAACAAACAACAAUGAUAAUAAAAAUAAAUAUUAUCCUGUAUUGAGA